UUUCUUUAAGUGAAUUUGAAAGUGCUAAAUGAUUAUUGACAUUUCUUGGGAGUUGCUAUAUUGGCAAUAGCAUUGAAGACGUAUUUGGCAGAAGAGGUUUGAUGGUUUGUGGUUUGAUUGAUUAAUUCUUUUUCCUUGUAAAAUUGGAUUAUCAAAAGCUUAUUAAAAUUUAAAUUUUGUUGUUAUUUCUCUCUUACAAGAAAAGGUUUUGAACUUCAUUCGCCGUACUUAAGAAUUGUAAGAAUCUUGUCUUCUUGUGCCCCUUGUUUCAUUGGUAGAAAUUGUAGUGUUCUCUGGGUAAUUAUGUUAAUGCUCUUGUUCCAGCAGUAACAUUCAUUCGGCUUUUCUGAAUUCAUUUACUGUUUAGCGGAGUUGUGCAGUUCAUGGACCUUUUCUUUUAUGCUUGGUUUUGAUGACCACCAAACCAUGAAUCCAUUUUUUGUUUUCCAGUGUUUACGAGGAAAGACCAUAAAAAAUGCAGAGGGAAGGGAAAGGCAAGGUAGAAAUGAUUUCUUUGCUAUGGGUGAUCCUUUUGGCAAUUUCCCGGGCUUUGGUUUGAUGCCGAGCCUAUUUGGAGGGAGGGAUCCAUUUGAUGACUCGCUCUUCACUCUCCCUUUUGGUAGCAUGUUUGAGUCUAGCAGGUAUGAUACUCCAGUUCUACUAGCAGGGACGUAUUGCAGACCGAUAGAGCAAAGGCGUUAGUAAUAGAAGAAUUAGCGUCUGAUGAUGAGGGUGAAAAAGAAGAUGUGCAAACUGGGGAUGAGAAGAGUGACCAUCAAAACAACAUUGGUUCAAGCCAAGAGCCAUCAGUUGAGCAUCCUGAUGGUAAAAUAAAAAUUAUUAUUGGUUUAUAUCUGCUUUGUGCUAGUGAAUUGUUUUUCUUGUGUAUCAAUGAUUGAAACUGUGGUUUGUCUGAUAGAGAGGGAAAACAAGAGUGUGAAUUAUAGGAGUGAUCAUAACAGAACUGAAGGAACAAAGCCACAAAUCCGCAGUUCCAUUUUUCAGACUUGCAAAGCCACAUAUGGAGGUAUGUAUGGGGCAUAUUAUACUUCCACUAGGACCAGAAGGACAGGCGGUGAUGGAGGAACAAGAGAAAAGGAGCUUGAUGUAGCCGAGUUCAUAUCAGCCCUGGACAACUCGUGGUGAUAGCGUCCGCUAGCAUUGAUGGAUCCACCAUACUGUCAUUAGUAGCAGCUGCACAUCAAACUGGUGGCAAUGUGGUCUGUAUUAUACCAACAAAACCCAAUAUUUGUGCAUCAAGAAAUGCUCCAGGACCUUAUGCAGACUGUGUUAAGUUUGUCAUAGGAGAUGCCAAGACCCUAUUAUCAAAGGGCAACAGAGGGGCAGAUUUUGUACUUGUAGAUUGCGAUCUUCAUGAUUGCAAGGAGGUGCUUAGAGCUGCACAGGACUGCUCUUUCUUUUAUGAUUAGAAAGGGAGCUUCAAGACUAAUAACAUGGAUGUUAGUUGAUUUGAUGUAAAGACCACAUUGCAUGUAACAAGCAUCUGACUUCAUGUUCUUGAAGAAGUUGGAUGUUCUCAAUGA
Populus euphratica (Euphrates poplar) is the source of this 1544-nucleotide long non-coding RNA. RefSeq lists it as uncharacterized. The transcript is spliced from 2 exons. NCBI's taxonomy places the organism in Eukaryota, Viridiplantae, Streptophyta, Magnoliopsida, Malpighiales, Salicaceae. The record is from RefSeq and is a predicted model, not a curated record.